This 433-nucleotide ribosomal RNA is filed under the name uncultured bacterium. Its description in RNAcentral is "partial 16S ribosomal RNA". It matches the Rfam family "Bacterial small subunit ribosomal RNA", at positions 29 to 507 of the family's 1533-position model. The record is from RNAcentral.
AACGAACGCUGGCGGCAUGCCUAACACAUGCAAGUCGAACGAGACCUUCGGGUCUAGUGGCGCACGGGUGCGUAACGCGUGGGAACCUUCCCUUAGGUUCGGAAUAACUCCCCGAAAGGGGUGCUAAUACCGGAUAAUGUCUUCGGACCAAGGAUUUAUCGCCUUUGGUUGUGCCCGCGUUGGAUUAGCUAGUUGGUAGGGUAAAAGCCUACCAAGGCGACGAUCCGUAGCUGGUCUGAGAGGAUGAUCAGCCACACUGAGACUGAGACGCGGCCCAGACUCCUACGGGAGGCAGGAGUGGGGAAUAUUGGACAAUGGGCGAAAGCCUGAUCCAGCAAUGCCGCGUGAGUGAUGAAGGCCUUAGGGUUGUAAAGCUCUUUUACCCGGGAUGAUAAUGACAGUACCGGGAGAAUAAGCCCCGGCUAACUCCGUG